CAUGCAGUCGAGCGGAACGAUCCUAGCUUGCUAGGAGGCGUCGAGCGGCGGACGGGUGAGUAAUGCAUAGGAAUCUGCCCGGUAGUGGGGGAUAACUUGGGGAAACUCAAGCUAAUACCGCAUACGCCCCAAGGGGGAAAGCAGGGGAUCUUCGGACCUUGCGCUAUCGGAUGAGCCUAUGUCGGAUUAGUUAGUUGGUGAGGUAAUGGCUCACCAAGACCGCGAUCCGUAGCUGGUCUGAGAGGAUGAUCAGCCACACUGGGACUGAGACACGGCCCAGACUCCUACGGGAGGCAGCAGUGGGGAAUAUUGGACAAUGGGCGGAAGCCUGAUCCAGCCAUGCCGCGUGUGUGAAGAAGGCCUUCGGGUUGUAAAGCACUUUCAGCGAGGAAGAAGGCCUGAUGAUUAAUACUCGUCAGGAAGGACAUCACUCGCAGAAGAAGCACCGGCUAACUCCGUGCCAGCAGCCGCGGUAAUACGGAGGGUGCAAGCGUUAAUCGGAAUUACUGGGCGUAAAGCGCGCGUAGGUGGCUUGAUAAGCCGGUUGUGAAAGCCCCGGGCUCAACCUGGGAACUGCAUCCGGAACUGUCAGGCUAGAGUGCAGGAGAGGAAGGUAGAAUUCCCGGUGUAGCGGUGAAAUGCGUAGAGAUCGGGAGGAAUACCAGUGGCGAAGGCGGCCUUCUGGACUGACACUGACACUGAGGUGCGAAAGCGUGGGUAGCAAACAGGAUUAGAUACCCUGGUAGUCCACGCCGUAAACGAUGUCGACUAGCCGUUGGGAGCCUCGAGUUCUUAGUGGCGCAGUUAACGCAAUAAGUCGACCGCCUGGGGAGUACGGCCGCAAGGUUAAAACUCAAAUGAAUUGACGGGGGCCCGCACAAGCGGUGGAGCAUGUGGUUUAAUUCGAUGCAACGCGAAGAACCUUACCUACUCUUGACAUCGUGCGAACUUUCCAGAGAUGGAUUGGUGCCUUCGGGAACGCACAGACAGGUGCUGCAUGGCUGUCGUCA
This 1010-nucleotide ribosomal RNA is filed under the name Halomonas sp. RNAcentral describes it as "bacterial SSU rRNA". It matches the Rfam family "Bacterial small subunit ribosomal RNA", at positions 54 to 1057 of the family's 1533-position model. Lineage: Bacteria; Pseudomonadati; Pseudomonadota; Gammaproteobacteria; Oceanospirillales; Halomonadaceae. The record is from RNAcentral.